UGUAGCGACGAAAGGGAAGGAAAUGUAGCGAAAGAGAGAGACACGGAUCCCGCGCUCCGGAGACCGGGCCGGAGCGCGCACUCAGCCGCCCGGUCCGCCCCAGACCCACUGCACACUAGGCGCCCCUUUCCUUCCAUUCUCCCUUGAUAGCAAUUAAUUACCACAUAUGCAAUUUGUUUAAUAUAUUUUUUUAAAAAUAGUAAUAACACGUAAGAACUCGUUUUGGCCGCGGCAAACCGAAAGUUGCCCUUGAAGACGCUGGAGAGGGGGAAGAAAGAUGAUUUUUAUUUUGGAAAUUACAGGAAUUCAUGAUCUCGCAACAAAACCAUUCCUUCGGUUCGAGCAGGCCUUCAGAACUGCUUGGUGCUGUUAUAACAGAGGAAGGAAACAAUCAGGGCCAUGCCUUUUCAGAAGACAGCUUCUGUCAACUCCAGACUUGUAAAAGAAAGUCCUGUACGUAGCUACCAGUGCCCCCCGCACCCCCUGUGAUAGCUCAAGAACAACUAAAUUAAGGAUGGUGCAUAAAUCCAUCUUGUGAUCCAAAAGGCAAGAAAGAUAACUGCUGCGCUAUGGUUGACUCCCCCAUCUUCGAGAGGACAAUGUGCAAGAUCAUCAUCUGUAGGUAUGUCCUUUUGAAAAUUUUUUUAAAUACUUUAAACUUUUGCAAACUAGUUUAUUAACAGAGUCUAUCUACUGCUUAUGUUUAGAAAAGACAGUUGCACCCUGAAGUCACCAGCUAGCUUGGUGUCUUGUACAGCAGCAGUGCUCUAGCCAUACCCACUGAUGAGGUUGACAGUCAAAGCAUUGAGGAAACUUCUAAUAUUGGCAUUCUGUGCCAGCAUUGCUAACAGAGGUUAAAACAACAUUCUUAACUAUGUUGCACAUUUGCCAACUAAAUAGCCCCCAGCUUAUUAUGCAUCAAGAAACUCCUGUGGACAGAAUGGUUAGCUAGCAGUUAGUCGCAGAUGUUGAAAUCUAAGCUGGUAGCUUUGUGAACACAGCAGCCCUCAAUCACUGCCAGUCUGAAAAUCUGCUGGAGGAGCUUCAUGCUCUAUACACCAGCCUAUUUUAUUGCAGUAAUGUAUGUGAUUCAGUUGCAGCAUAAUACUAAAAUGUAGUAAGUGGAAAGCAUAUGUGUUUGGAAAGCAACGGGGUAGUUCCUUUGUAAACAAAAGCAACCAAGACCUUAAUGUACCUAGCUGACUUCUGACCUCCUAAGUUAUUUGAGUUAGACUGCAGUAGUUCAUCAAAGAGGUGCAGCACUUUCUUUUUAAAGGGGCAUUUACGGAUGAGUAAUAAAUCCUGUUUUUUUUCCAGCACCGGGAAAAUCGCAUAAAUAAUUAAAAGGUUUUCAAAACACGAGGCAGUCACGCUGUUGGGGAUGUGCGAUAUUUUCCAGAUAGUCUGAAGAAGAUAGAGAAAAGUUGUGGGCAAUUUUUUUGAGAAAUGAAAAACAAAGACAAUGUUAAUGUGUCGAUUACCCUAAUAUUAAACAGGAUAUAUUGUGGAAAAACAAAGGGAGUGCAAAAUUGCUAAAUUCCCUCUGGAAAAAUCUUUUACCUGGUAUAUAGCAGCCAAAGUGGGAGUGCAGGGAAGUAACUUCUAAACUUAGUUUUAGAGUACAAAGCUAGGCAAAUGUAUGAUAAGGCCAUUUGUUUAUAGUGAUCAAAAUUCAAUUUAUCACAGUUAUGGACAGGGGCAAAGAUUGGAGUUGGUUUUAAAUUGGGGUGAAGUCAAUUUUACUAGUCAAAGUGAUCUAGCAAAAGUGGAUUGGAAACAGCUACUUGAAGGAAAACCAGACAAUAAUGGGAGGCAUUGAAGAAGGAGCUUUGAGGGUUCAGAGUAAACAUAUUCCCACAAAGAAAAUAAAUGGGCUUGCCAAGAAUAGAGUCCCAAGAUAGCAAGGUGCCUAUUGGGUAAAAUGAGGCAAGAAAUUUAAUGUGAGAAAGUAUGUAGUAUGUAGGAGUGGAAUUAAAAUGGAAAUUAAGAAAGCUAAGGAAAGAUAUGAACAAAAUAGCUCAUAGUCAAAGAAAAUUCAAAGAUGUUUUAUCUGUACAUAAAGAGCGAGAGGAUAACUAAGGAUCUAUUAAGGACCAAAAAAGUAACCAUAGGAGAAUGCAGAUGAUAUUCCUAAUAAAUACUUUGCAACUGUGUUCUUUUAAGGGGGUGAUGCCGGUAUUGCAUUUCAGAGAGUGUAUGAAAUAUUGGAUGGGAUGAGCUUUGCAAUGGAGAAAGUAUGAAGGGGUUUAGCACUGCAAGUGAGGGAAUAGUUAGGCCUGGAUGAAAUGUAUUUAAGACUUCUUCAAAGAAGCAAGCAAGGGAGGAAGUUGCAGAGGCUUUAACUACAAUUGCUCAGUACUCCCUAGCUACAGAAUUGGUGCCAGAGGACUGAUAACAUUGUUUAAAAAGGGAGGACAAGAUAAUCUGAGUAUUUGCCAGCCUCUUUAACUUCAGUGGCUACACCUUUGGAAUCGAUCUCAAGGGGCAAUAUAAAGCUUCAUUUAGAAAGGCAAACAUUAAUCAGGAAUAGUCAACGUGGAUUUUUAAUGGAAGUCCUCUCUGACUAAACUGAAAUAAUUUUUGGGGGGGAGGUAACAAGGAGGGUUGAUGAGGGUGGUGUAUAUGAUAUAGACAAAAUAGAUUUUAGCAAGGCUUUUCACAGGAUCCCACAUGGCAAGCUUGUCAAAACGUAAAAGACCAUGGUAUCCAAGGGAGAGGAGCAAGUGGGAUGUGACAUGAGCUCAUUCACAAGAAGUAAAAGGUAAUGGUUGAUGUUUUUGUGACUGGAAGGCAGCUGCCAGUGGGGUUCCAUAAAGCUCAGUACUCAAUACCUUGCUUUUUGUAAUAUAUAUAACUGAUUUGGACCGAAAUCCAGAUGGGUGAUAAAGAAAUUUGUAGGUGAUAGAAAAACUGACGGUGUGGUUAACAGUGAGGAACAAACCCUUUGACUGAUAGAAGAAAAAGAUGGCAUGGUUAAUUGGGCAGAAAAAUGGUAAAUGGAAUUUAAUCUCAAAAAGUGUAAGGUAAUACAGUUGAAAUGCAAAAAGGCAAGGGAGUGCACAUUACAUGGGAGGAUAUUAAGUGUGUGAAAGAACAAAGGAUCCUUGGAAUACAUUUCCAUUGAUCCCUAUAAGUAACAGGACAGGUUAAUAAGAUGGGUAAAAAGGCAUAAAAUAUAAGACCAGGGAUGCUGGAAUUGUCUGCCACACUGGCUAGGCCACAGUUUGGGUACCAUGUACCAUUCUAGUCACCACAUUCAAGGAACAAUGUGAUGGAAUUGAGGAGGAUUCAGAGGAGAUUUCCAAGGAUAUUGCCGGGACUAAAAUAAUAGCUAUAAGAGAAUAUUGGGUAAGUUGGUGUUGUUUUGUUUUGAAAGAAGAGGAUGAGGGGUAGAAAGUGAGAGACCUGUAUUUGCAGUGAUUUGUUGGAUUAAUUACAUAUUAUUAAGGAAAAGCUUUCGGGCUUUCAGAUAUAACCAUUGCACCUUAAGAGUAUUUAUCUGUUGUGUAAACAUAGCCACACAAUCAAAAGGCAGAGAAUCAAAUGUUCUUUUGCCAUUAUUAUUGAUCAGUCCACCAGAAAUUCAUAUGGAAGAGAUAAAUGUUAUAAACUCAAGAGCAAGGCUGAUGUAAGCAUAACAGCAUUCUUGGUUGUGCCAUAUGCCAUAGUUGAGGUGUGUGGCUAAAGCCAGGCAUGGAGAUGUGGUUAAGUGUGCAGCCAGAGUCAGGGGUCAAGAACAUGGUUAGUUGUAUGGCCGGAGCUGGGGUCAAGACUGCGGUUAGUUGAGUGGCCAGAGCUGAGGUCCGGGAACGUGGUUAGUUGUGUGGCGGGAGCUGAUAAAAUUGGUACAUGCAACUUGCAUUCCACAUUAUGGAUGCUCAAGAUCUGGAGUGUCAGGAUUUCAUGGAUGAUCCAACAGCUGCAAACCUGACCACCGCCGCACAAUUGUAGCUAGGGAACUCGGACGCUUUGAUAUUGACGUCACCACACUGACUGAAACACAGUGGGCAAGAGAUGGCCAAUUUAAAGAACAAUGCACUGGGUACACAUUCUUCUGGUUGGGCAAACCAGAAGAGGAACACGCUUUGCCAGUGAGAAUGAGCUAGUCCGGCAUCUCUGCAACUCCCUGUGGAAUAAGUGAAUGCCUUAUCACUUCAGCUCAGUCCAUUUGGGAACCAAAAAGUUACAAUGAUCAGUGCAUGCAGCCCAAUCCUGGAGGGUUCAGGGGAAGGCACUGAGGAUUUCUAUUCUGACCUUGAAAUUAUCCUGAUUUGCAUCCCAAAUGAAGACAGACUGGUGGUCCUUUACAACUACAGUACCAGAGUGGGAAGGGGCAUGACCCUCGAGCAAGACAUGAUCAGCAAGGAAGAAGUAGGGAAGACCAACUCCAAUGGUAUCCUCUUGACAAAAUGCAUGGCCUUGUCAUAACGAACAAUCCUGUUCCAGGCACCGGCACCUGUUAGAUUGUAUCAUCAUCUGAGGAAGGGACCACAGGUGUCCACUUCACUCCCACUGUGACAGAUACUAAUGAGUGUAAGACUGACCACCACCUAAUAUGAUUUUACUUUCUCCAUCACCAUGCCCCCAAAACAUCUGAGAGAAGCAGCCAAUGCCUGCUGGAAGGAGCACUUCAUAGACAUCCUCAUCAGCAACUCUGUCCAUGACUUGAGUGCCAUUGACUCUGUCCCACAGCAACAUAUUCAAUGCAGCUUUGCCACCACUCCUGACUGACAUGCAGUUGAAGAGGUCAUAUCCAACUUCAAAAAAAAUGGGCCUCUAGAGCAGAGAAUAUUUCCACUGAAGUCCUAAAACACUGCAGUGAUGAGCUUCAGACACAAAUUUGCAAUCUCUUCAUUCCCAUUGGAGAAGAUGAGGAUAUUCCAUGUAACUACAGACACACUGCAAUUGUAACUAUAUUUGAGAAAAGAAACAAGUUUGACUGCAGUAAUUACUGUGGGGUCUCUCUUCUGUCUGCCACAGAGAAAGUAAUCACCGGGGUUCUACUUUCUCCCAGUGGUUGAAGAGCUGCUCCCUAAAUUGCAGUGUAGAUUCCAUCCAUUUAGAGGCACAAAUAGACGUGAUUUUCACCAAGCUAGUCACAGGGUCUUUUUCAACCCUUCCUCCAUCAAUUGGGAGGGAAUCCUUAAAUUCAGCUACCCACAGAAAUUCCAUCUUGUGUUUGCUUCACGAUGACAUACAAUCCAUGAUGCUGACCAAUGGGUCAAUACAAAACCAAUCUCGGUAAAGGCCAGUGUCAAACAAGAGUGUGUCAUUGCCCCAGCAUUUUCCCAAUCUUUCUCACUGCAAUGUAGAACCUCCCCUUCAACAAACUUCCCAUGCUAAUCUUCAGAACUAAUGGGAAACUGGUCAACCUAUAGUGACUACUCUCCAGAGCCAGGGUCAUCCCAUUCUAAGUGAUUAAGCUUGCAUUUGCGCACACUCACAGGACAAGCUUCAAGCCAUCGUCAACUCAUUCACUAAAGCUUACAAGAGGCUGAGCCUUGUACUCAACAUCUGCAUGAACCUCUUUUCCUAUCUCGGGAGAAAGUUCUUAGCAAAGGCAGUCAUCGAUGAUGAAAUUCAUCCUUGCCUUCAAUGCACUUGUACAGCCUUUGGUCCAUUGAGUAAAAGAGUACUGAAGAUCAAGACCUCAGACCUGAGCAAAAUUGCUGGUCUAUUGAGCAGUAAUCCCUGUGUUCCUAUAUGCUUUGAAACUAGACUUGAACUACCUACUGCAGACAUUCUGAGACAUCCCAAUGCUGUCUCCGCAAAAUUCUCCAAAUUUCCGGCGAUGGUUAAGCAAGUUACAGUGUCCUCUUCCAGAUCAGCUUCCAUAGCCCUGGUUGCACUCAGUCCACUAUGUUUGCAUCCCAACACCAGCCUCCUGAAGCUGAUAAUGUUUUUCAAACUCUGACAUGGGAAGAGUGAGAAGAGGAUGUGCUCAAGGCUUCCUUGAAGAAAUGUGACAUCCCCACUGAUUUCUGAGAUUCUUUGAUUCAUGGCUCUCAAAAUGGAGAAGCAACAUUUGGGAUGGUAUUAAAAAUCUCAAGUCUUUGCAUCAGGAAUACAUAGAAGCUCUGUGUAAGCAGUGGAAGGAGAUGCCACUGCACAAAUUAUCCAUCUUCAGUUCUAAAAGAUUAGAUAUCUCUGUGCUUUGCUGUGGCCUGCACUUUGCUUUGAAAAACACGUUUGCAAAUGCAGCCUUGCAAAGCUGCUGCUUUGUGGGAGAUGCUAACAAUCUCCAUAUCACUGGACUUCCUGCCUUGACAGAA
This is a long non-coding RNA of Pristis pectinata (smalltooth sawfish), 6272 nucleotides long. RefSeq lists it as uncharacterized. The transcript is spliced from 3 exons. NCBI's taxonomy places the organism in Eukaryota, Metazoa, Chordata, Chondrichthyes, Rhinopristiformes, Pristidae. The record is from RefSeq and is a predicted model, not a curated record.